Molecule: ribosomal RNA, 463 nt
Filed under: uncultured bacterium
Lineage: Bacteria
Description: partial 16S ribosomal RNA
Rfam family: Bacterial small subunit ribosomal RNA
Source: RNAcentral
GACGAACGCUGGCGGCACGCCUAACACAUGCAAGUGGAACGGACUUAAAAGAGCUUGCUUUUUUAAGUUAGUGGCGGACGGGUGAGUAACACGUGAGCAACCUGCCUCUGAGAGGGGGAUAGCUUCUGGAAACGGAUGGUAAUACCCCAUAAAAUAUAAAUAUCGCAUGAUAGAUAUAUCAAAGAAAUUCGCUCAGAGAUGGGCUCGCGUCUGAUUAGAUAGUUGGUGAGGUAACGGCUCACCAAGUCGACGAUCAGUAGCCGGACUGAGAGGUUGAACGGCCACAUUGGGACUGAGACACGGCCCAGACUCCUACGGGAGGCAGCAGUGGGGAAUAUUGCACAAUGGAGGGAACUCUGAUGCAGCGAUGCCGCGUGGAGGAAGAAGGUUUUCGGAUUGUAAACUCCUUUUAUCAGGGACGAUAAUGACGGUACCUGAAGAAAAAGCUCCGGCUAACUACGUG